GUGCCGACGCGUGUUCGAGCAACCGUUCAGGCCUCUAGUCAACCAUCUUCAUUGAGUUUUAAAGCUGAUAGGUAUUGCUAUUGCCUUCUAUUUUGGAGCCAGAUUUGGGUUUGAUAAAGCUGAUAGGAAACGCCUUUUCAAUAUGAUUAAUGAAGUGCCCACAAUAUUUGAAGUUGUUACUGGUGCAGC
Arachis ipaensis is the source of this 189-nucleotide non-coding RNA. The record is from RefSeq and is a predicted model, not a curated record. NCBI's taxonomy places the organism in Eukaryota, Viridiplantae, Streptophyta, Magnoliopsida, Fabales, Fabaceae.